UCGGGAAUUUUGGGCAAUGGGCGAAAGCCUGACCCAGCAACGCCGCGUGAAGGAUGAAAUCCCUCGGGAUGUAAACUUCGCAAGAACGGGAAGAAUAAGUAAGAGUUAAUAUCUUUUACGAUGACGGUACCGUUUGUAAGCUCCGGCUAACUCCGUGCCAGCAGCCGCGGUAAUACGGGGGGAGCAAGCGUUGUUCGGAAUUACUGGGCGUAAAGGGCGCGUAGGCGGCCUACUAAGUCAGACGUGAAAUCCCCCGGCUUAACCUGGGAACUGCGUCUGAUACUGGAAGGCUUGAGUAUGGGAGAGGGAUGUAGAAUUCCAGGUGUAGCGGUGAAAUGCGUAGAUAUCUGGAGGAAUACCGGUGGCGAAGGCGGCAUCCUGGACCAUUACUGACGCUGAGGCGCGAAAGCUAGGGGAGCAAA
Molecule: ribosomal RNA, 422 nt
Filed under: uncultured bacterium
Lineage: Bacteria
Description: bacterial SSU rRNA
Rfam family: Bacterial small subunit ribosomal RNA
Source: RNAcentral